This 374-nucleotide ribosomal RNA is filed under the name uncultured Halomonas sp. RNAcentral's name for it is "bacterial SSU rRNA". It matches the Rfam family "Bacterial small subunit ribosomal RNA", at positions 109 to 483 of the family's 1533-position model. Lineage: Bacteria; Pseudomonadati; Pseudomonadota; Gammaproteobacteria; Oceanospirillales; Halomonadaceae. The record is from RNAcentral.
AGUAAUGCAUAGGAAUCUGCCCGGUAGUGGGGGAUAACUUGAGGAAACUCAGGCUAAUACCGCAUACGCCCUACGGGGGAAAGCAGGGGCUCUUCGGACCUUGCGCUAUCGGAUGAGCUUAUGUCGGAUUAGCUAGUUGGUGAGGUAACGGCUUACCAAGGCGACGAUCCGUAGCUGGUCUGAGAGGAUGAUCAGCCACAUCGGGACUGAGACACGGCCCGAACUCCUACGGGAGGCAGCAGUGGGGAAUAUUGGACAAUGGGCGAAAGCCUGAUCCAGCCAUGCCGCGUGUGUGAAGAAGGCCCUCGGGUUGUAAAGCACUUUCAGUGAGGAAGAAGGCUUGUCGGUUAAUACCCGGCAGGAAGGACAUCACC